UUCUAGUCUAAGAGAUGCAUGUUUCUGUAUUUAUUCUUUUGCAUAUGUAUGAGUACAUACACAUGUAUAAAUACAUGAAGUUCUCACACUGUUGUAGCUCAGUUUUUCUAUAUUUUUCUCUCAAUGGUGUUGCUUAUUCUUGGAGGAUAUUCAUCCCAAAAUUCACUUCAACAGAAAUGGGCUUCACUUAAUACUUGAAGCUGUUUUUGUUGCCUUUGACCUCUGCUUGUGAAAGGGCUUUUUUGGCAGUAGUCAAGAAUAUUGAAAUAAAAUGCUGGGAUAAAAGCAAUGAAUAAUAGAGGGUGGGCAACUACUGAGUCACCAUGAAAUACUGCCAAUGGAGCUUGCUGAGCUCCAGCUCAGCUUGGUCUGGCUACCUAUGUCUCAUUGCUGAGUUCUUCAAAAUGUGCCACUACAGACAGCUGAUGCAGCCAGCUAAUCACAGGGAAAUGGUAGAGCUUCAAAGCUCUGGGAAUAAUAAAAGUCAUGUCUGCCACUGUCUGCUUACUCACCCUUGAAACGAGCUGGUAUGAAAGCAGCCAAGAGCAGUUGAGGCUCACAAACAGAAUGACUUGUAGGCUGUGAUGUGUUAGAAAUUAGUCAUGUUUCAGUCUGUGCUUUUGAUUUUGCUCAGCAGUUGUCUGCAGUGCCUUGGUCUCUGCCUGCUGUCCUGGACAUUGGGUAAGACAGGAGAGAUAGGGAGUGAUGGGAGCCAAGGGAGGCCUCUGGAAAGGAAAACUGAGCUCUCUGAUCUGCCCCACCACGCGUGGGGAGUGCACAGAGCAGCGCAGGCCAACAGCCCUCCGUGCCACCGUGGCUGUGCCAAUGCCUCUGCUCAGGGAUUUGCACAGUAAGGGCUGAGAAUUCCUGGUGCUGCCAGCAGACUGCAAUGAUGGAGGUUGGGAAGUGCAUAGCUGUGAUGUUUGAGGGCACAAGGGAUGCUUUAUUGGCAUGGAGCUAUCUUGUUCAGUGCCUUCCCCAGCAUGGACACCUUUGCCAGAAGAAAGGCAGGGAAGGUUGUUCCAUUGUUCUCAGGCUUCAAACCAGCUUCCCCUCCCUGAAAUUGCGGGGCCAGUGGGGGGCUGCUUUUGGUGGUGUCUUUCUUUCAUGAGUCUGAAGCAGGUUAGCUUGGUUUUCAAACACCUUCCUGCAGCCUUUCCUUAUUGUACAGCCAUAUACAGGCAGUAAACCAGCAGUUAAACACAAUCCUUUUCCGGAGGGUGCCGUGAGUCCCCUGUCCCCCCUCCCCACUGCCUGGGGCUCAGCCCUGCUGUGCUGCUUUUGAAGACAGCCCUACAGAGAUGCAUCUACCACGGCCUCAGGGCUUGCUGGCUGCUGUGCCCUGUUUACCCCAGAGCACUGCAGACACCAAGGGACAAACCCUCCCCUUGUUCUGUCCCAGGAGCACAUGAAGGCUGCUGGCAUUUCCACGAGCUGUGAGUGGAGACCCCAUGAGCACCGAUACCAGCACUGGGGCAAAGUGCAGUGAGAAGCAGACAAGGAAAAGGAACCCAGGGCAGCAUCUCAUUGUCCUCACCCUGCAGAACGUGGUGUCCAGUGCUCAGGGAGGGAACGACAAUGUUGUGGUACUGCUGGUGCCACAUGGGGAAUGUGCAGGGCCUGAGCAGUGGGUGGUCUGAUCUGAGAGAUGUGCAGUGCUGUAUUUUCCCAUGCACUAUGGGUGUGCUGGGUUGUAAAGCCUGCUGAGACAGCUGGGUGCUGCUGGAGCCCAGUUCUUAUCUAAUGCUUUUUUCUUUCUGCUCAGUUCCAGGUGGCAGGGGACACAGCCAGAGCAGUGGCACAGCAGCAGAGGGGAUGCCCGCCCACCUGGUGUGUUCCCUUGGCACACCCACCAACAGAUGUGGUGCUGCACGAUCCCACUUGCAGCCUGCAGCUGUCACAGCAAGCAAACCUGGCUUCCAAACAAGAGCUGAGCAACACUGACAAUCUGAGCAGAAGGGCAGCCCCAGUGCAGUGGCUGUGUUUAACCCUUAAGAGGCCACCUCGCAGGUCCUCUGUGUGUACCCUCAUGUUCCACAUCUGCCAGCAUCACUUUUCCCUCCCAGGAGCAGCAGACAGAAAACCAGCCCUGGGAAAUCUGCAUUUUUUGGAGCUGUCAAGGAAUAAAGCUGAACUGAGGGGGAAAGGAGUGUUUAUUCCCAGUGGAUAAAGAGAGGAAGGCUGAAAAUGAAGGAUUUUCUCCAAUGAGCAGCAAACCCCACCUCUGAAUUUCCAGUAAAUCUGUUGGGAGUACAAAGCAAACCAAUCAAGAAACGUCAAGGUGUAUUUACUGUCCUAUUAACCUGGUGCCCCAUUCCCUCUCUGGCACACGCUGUCAGCACACAAAGGUACAUCGCAGUGCUGGGGAGGGAGCGUGGCUGGGAGCCGAGCUGGGGCAAGAUGACCAAAUGGCUCCUGACUCCUGCUUUCCAGCCAUCACAGCAUGGAAAGGGGGUGCUGGAGGUGAGCCUGUUCUGGGAACAGUAGUGCUUGGGGACUGUGCCAGUCCUUUGUGCUGCCUGCUCUCAACGAGGCAGAAAUUUAAUUGUAACGAGGAACUCGCACAUGCUUACCUGCAGCUGAAGCCAAAGCAGCUUCUGUUAGAGAUCACCUAGACUUAACUACUGUCAAAUACCGGCUGCAAGUGAGAUGGGUUUCCUGAAUGCUAUAUUUUUACUUGGUGACACAUCUAGAACUUUUGGAAAGAGGUAUUUUAAAAAGCUUGUCUUUAAGGUUUUUGCAGGUGUCUUUCUUACUUUUUUUUUCCUUGUAAAGAAAAUUGGGCAAUCACAGAAUUGUGAUGCAAGUUGCCUCUUAUUCUCUUGCUUCAUAGCCCAUGGCCAUCCUGAAGAAUACAGGAAAUACUGAUAAAUUGGGUAUAUUCCCCAUCUAAUGUUCCUCUACGCUGUCCUCAGAGCAUGUCCUGCUCCUAGCUGCUCUGUUAACUUGUCUCUGCUUAUAACACUCGCUACAUAAAACACAACUGGGCGCUUUUCGCUCUGAUUAAAAUCAUGCUGUGCAAUAGGAAAUACAAAUUAGCUCUGGCCUUUGGGCUCCUGACAAGUUUCCAGCGCCGCUUUCAACACCACAGAGAUUGUGUAACUCCAUCUGUGCGGGCUCUGUGUGUGACGUCUCCCCCUCCGUCACGAGCUGGGCUGGCUGCCACUCAUCCAGGUUCAGCUGCUAAUACUUCAAGCAGCUUUUAGAACUGAAGGAGGAAGUGAUGUUGCCAGCAGCUGGGUGAAACCAGCUUUUCCUUGCCAGAGGACUAUGUGGGAAGGGUUAAAAGGAGGAGGACUUCUUAGGUAAUUCCCCUAAUCUUGAUGUUUGUGCAAACAUCCCUUUUGAAUGAAUGACUGGGGAGCUCAGCACAGGAGAGCACAGUAGUCUCUCAUUCAAACUACAGCUGAAGUUUGUGUUUCUGUGAAGUGCACGGCACUUUCCUGCCUCCUCCAGGAAUUCAAGCCAGGCAUGCUGUCUUACAUCAUUUCAGCACUGCUCACUCAAGGGCUGAGGCUCCAGCUAUCGUGUCACGUUUUCAGCAGAAACCUUUUAAGUCUCGGCGACUUCCUCUGAGGAUGUUGAAGCAAACAGUGGCCAGACCUGUGAGUGAACAAGUUGCAGAUGACACCGCCGGUUUGAAACGGUGCGUGGGCACGACGUGGGCGAAUGUUCCCUGUGCUGGGUGUUUUCUAAAGGUCUCUGAAGCAUGAGGCAUGACUGAAUGACUUCUGUUUUCUUUAAAUGAUGAGUGGGAGAAUUCUGAAUCGUUGGUCUGCUUUUAUUUUUGUUAAAUGCGUGUGGGCUGACAACAUGACUCAGUAUUUUCUCUGCAGAUGCAAAGAUCAUGCUGCCAAUUCUGGAUAUACUUCAGACAGUUUCCUAUGGAGAACUGGAACACUUUUUCAGUCCAAAGCUUUGCUUUUCGGUAGGCUUAAGUCUACUGAUGUGGAAAUAAGUGAUUUUAAAAGUGAGUGUUUUGCCAAAAUGCAUAUAAAUACACUGAAGGAAUGACCAAACAUGGGGAAAGUCCCUCUACCCCUGUGUUUUCCCAACAGUUUAUCUGAUUUUUUUCAUGGCUAACAAUGUCUGAUUUUUUUUUUUUCUGAUUCUCCCUAGCCUGAGUUGCAGCUGGGCCAUUUCUUUGUCUGCUGGAUAUCAUCUCUGGUGUUUAUUUGGCCGUCCAUGUCCUGCUGGGUGACAGCCACCAUCCUGGGACUGAUGGUUCUGAACUCUCCCCUCCUCCCAAGAGACAGGUAGGCAUAUUUGUGGGUACCUGUAUGUGGUUUAGCCACAAGUACCAGAAAACUCCCCUUUCUCCUUUCUGACAACCUCCCUGCCCUGCUGUCCCUUCUUUAUCCUCUCUUUAUGGCAUGUACAGUGUAUGGCAUGUGCUCUGGGAGAUACACAAAACCAGGCAUGGGCUUUGGAUGCUUUUAUUGUGCAACAGCGAGUGCCCUCUUCUCCCAUAUCCUCUUCUCUACUAAUGUGCGGUGUACUGGUGGUUAUGUCUUUGAUAAGUUGUAAGUCAGCAUUCUAGAGCUACCAAUAAACCACUUUUCCCUGCUGAUAGCAGCCCUCAGCCCUGUGGACCUUGCUGGAGGGCUGUGAAUGGCUAGAGAAUAACACACUAGUGGAUGAAGGACGUUGCACAGCAAAGCUUGUCUGUGAAGAUGGUGUGCCCGUAGAUUGAUUCUGUAGAGCGUGCAGAGUGAAAUGAAUUCCUUACACUCCGCUUAUUUGAUUGCUGACUUCAACCACAGCAGAAUUCCCACACUCAGUCCCUAGCAAUGGCCUAAUGUGACCUGUACUUAGCACCAUGACCCAAACCCCACUACGAUCCUGACUCCAUACUGACCCAUACAACAGUGAGCUGUACCUGACCCACGUAUGCACAAGCAUGUAUUACAGUACUAGGCAACUGUAUCAUCUUCCUAUCAUUCUAGUUCUUCAGUCCUAAGAUCUUUUUCCUAUUUCUGGCAUUUUCUCUACCUUCCACUGUCCACCCAUGGCAGUACAUCACCCUAAACUUAAGCCUGAGCAUGUCCAUCAUCCCUACAGACCUCACUGGAAGCCACUUGACGUGGUUGACUCAAAUGCCUUUGCAGGUUUAUCUCAUAAUGAUAAGAAACAGGUAGCAGAUUUUAUAAUUUCUCCCCAAUCCUCACAUUAUUCAAGAAGAAUCCUACACUUUAAGCCCAUUUACCCCACAACCUGAUUCCAGCUUUAAGGAUAAACUAUCAGCCAGCAUUCCUUGAAUCACAAGCAGAAGCAUUGUGCCUUACUGAGUACCAGCACUCAGGUUUGUCCUGAAGAGCAAAGAGGAGGUGCUCUUUAGUCCUUGGUGUCCUGAUCUCUAACCCUGACUUUAGUGUCGAAGAUCCAGUGCUCAUUACUUACAGUCCUGUACCUCUGAGUGCCAGAUCCACUCACCCCUGCCAGCCCCAGUCCACAUUACUAUGUUUCCAAUUGUGUUUUUGCUGGAAUCCAGGCACAGAGAUGGAGGCAGUCAGUGGGACUUGAUUGGUGUACAAGCUGUAAGUUGUAUUUUUCAGAGGUUGAGCUUGAUGAGGCAGAGCAUGUUUUGGUGGAUUUUAGGGUGGAAAGAUUAUGUUUGGUCAUGGCUUGAAGGACUAACUGGCUUGCUCAGCUGAGAGAAUGGCAGGCUGGGUACAAGAUGGGGCCUGGGGGAGUGAGUGUCUGUACACCAGUGAGUGAGCAGGGAGUCCUGGUCUGUGGCACUGAUCACUCUCCUUUCCUAAAACAGGCUUCAUUCUUCCUGUCUUCUUAAUUCUCACUGCCUUUCCACUGAUUCUUCAUCACUGUCUCCAGCCUUUUUCCUCCAGCCUUUGGAUUUCCAAAGCUACCAGCUUCUCUAGAGCUGGUUCUUCAGCCCUCCCCAGCCCUCUGUCACUGCUGCCUUGCCUGUUUGUGGCAGUCAGAGCACAGCCAGAGGCCAAGCACAUGAACCUAUGUUGUCUAUUAGAAGGCACUCUAUUUCACAUUAGUGUGUCUUGGGAAACAAGAAUGGAGACUGCUACAGCCUCAGGUGUCUUCUGAUAUCAUUGUGUAGCUGCGAAUAAUGAGCUUGCUUCUGGAGUUUUUUUGGGAUUGGCCUUUCAGCUUGCUUCAGUUAUUUACAUUGAAGGUAGGUAUAGCAUUUUUUGUUUCUGAGUUGUGUUUGAUAAGAUUGUCACAGAAAAGCUCUCCAAGGUUCUGGAAAGAACACUUAUUAAAGGGGUUUUGUAAUUGGUACCGUGUGUGGUCCUCAGCUUUUCUGAACUUUUGUUGUGUUACAUUCAAGUAUAAUCUAGUGUUGUUUGAAAGAAAUCUUGGAAAAACUGACAGCAGGUCAGAUGAGGGAGGUGGAGCUGGUUUAUGCCACUUUUUUUGCAACAGAUGAAGUUGGUAUUCCCCACCUGGUGAAGGUGCAGCAGACUGAAUCACUAACACACUUUGCUCUGAAAUAAAUCACAGUGACAAAACGACAUUGCUUGUGGCAAAUUGCUUAUUAAAUAGCGAGCGUUACUUUGCGUGCUUAAGAUCACAACUACUCUCUUUAAAACAAACAAACAUUUAUUUUUCCACAAUCAAGGCCAGUGAAAGGCAGGUCCCCACAGGGUACAGAGACCAGCCUGCUUCCUCAUUCUUUGCAGUCUCACGGAUGGGUUGCUUUCUUCUGUGUCAAGUGAAAACUUCCUGACCCAACCCUGGACUCGCCCUGAGCCUGGCCAGAUCUCCUCCCCACACCAGCCUCACCCCAUGUCUCCCAGGAACAGCCACCCUCUUCCCGUGUGCCUUACCAAGGUGUUCAGUGCAUUUGUCGUUUGCACACUCUUCCUGAUACACAACACCCAUAUAUUUUUAUGGCCAGUUUGGAUAAAGACAUCACUCCAGCUGGUAACUGCAGCUUCCAGAUAAGACUGACCCCGUGACAGAGUAAGAAACACCCAAAUAAGGAGCAAGGAAUUGUCUAUUUUCAGGCUGCAGACUGGCUACAUAUACCAACAAACAGAAUUUUGUUGCACAAACACAGAAUAACAACUCUAACUGGAACAGUUCUCUUGGUAGUCCUCACUUUAUCUGUAAUUAAUUCUGAAAAGAGUUUCCAGGCCCUACCAUUAGAAAGCAACUUCCUGAGUGUGUCUUUAAGGAAUAAAGGGAAACAAUAUUUUUAAUGACAUAGCC
Catharus ustulatus (Swainson's thrush) is the source of this 7188-nucleotide long non-coding RNA. RefSeq lists it as uncharacterized. NCBI's taxonomy places the organism in Eukaryota, Metazoa, Chordata, Aves, Passeriformes, Turdidae. The record is from RefSeq and is a predicted model, not a curated record. The transcript has 3 exons.